AACAUAUGCAGGGCUAAGUACAAAAGUACUUAGUGGGCAGUUGCAAAAAACUAAAAUAUAAGCUUAACAUUUUAUUAACAAACCACAACAUUAUAUAAGAGACACGAGCCUUCUUUCAAAUCCUUUGUUUACUAAACAUUUCCAAAACCAUAAAUAGCGUGAGUGCAUUCUUCAUCAUCGAAAGUCUUAUUAAUAAGCAUCGUGUCGUGAGGAAGGCCUUCCUCAACGAACACAGGCAUCGCGCCGCAAGGGAGGCCUCCCUCAGCGGACACGGCAUCGUACUGUUGGGGGAGGCCUCCCCCAACAGACGCUAGCAUCGUACCGUUGAGGGAGGCCUCCCUCAACGAACGCUUGACCGGCCAACCCUCUCAUUGACUCACGGUCGCGUUGUGAAUUUAAAUCCCGGCGGAAUAGCUAUCCGCUCAGAAUUCAAACUCGUUAGCAUCGUCACAUUUCAAUAAAAAGCAUAAAGCCUUCAAGCGUAACAAAGCACAAAUCACAUAGGCGUAACAAAGCGUAAAGACUAAAGCGUAAAAUAUUUAGGUGUAAACAUCAUAGCGUAAAUUACUUAGGCGUAACAAGCGUAAACAACAAAGCGUAAAGCAUUUAAGUAAAACAAAGCAUAACUCGAUUAAGCGUAAUAAACGUUACUCAAUUAAGCUUAAUAAAGCGUAAUUUAUUUAAAAAUCUAAUUUAAAAUUUUAAAGCAUAAAAAUUUUAAUAGUUCUAAAAUAGCAUUUUAUUUUACGCGUAAUAAAUGCCCACAUGAUAGCAAGGAUUUGCUAAGGCGUUGUGAUUCCUUGAAUAGCUCUCACUCUCGCGCUUGUCCUUUAUUACGAGAAUAUAAAAUAAGAUAUUGACUCGAGGGAAAUUCUCAAUUAACGAGAAUGUAUGUGUAAUUUAACUAUGCGUGACUCUUAUUCAAAUAAUUAUUAUUCAGGAAUAACAAUCCAAGAAUUUCUAUCUUUCAUCCAGACUUAUAGGAUUUAGGGCUCGUCAAUAAUAUUGGAUUAAUAACUUUAAUAAUCUUCUUAGUUUAGGGUAUUCUAACCCACUUGCUAAUUAAAUAAGUCUCGUUCUAAAAUAAUCCAUAACUAAAACAUCCAAGUCCAAAUAAUCACUCAAUUAAUCUGAAACUACCUUUUAAUCGGGUUUAAAUAAAAUAGAGGAAUAAUAACAGCCCAAUUAUUCAAGAAAGUUCGCACUAUUAAGCCCAUCUGAAAUAUGUGAGGAAAAUCAGGCCCAACCUGAAGUCUAAAAUAAUUACUGCCCCCAACAGCUUUAAUAAUCGGCCCAUUGAAGAAAAAUAAUUCAGCCCAUCCCUUAAUAAAAUCUGGCCCAAAAUACUUAACUCCAACCCAAAGGUUUGGCCCAAACCCCCAUCCUCAAAGUCAAAACUCACGGCUGUAUACCAGUCUUCUUUCUCUCUCUCUCUCUUGCAGUGGUGUCGGCCGCUGUGGCUGAAUCCGGCGAGCCGCGCUUCCUUCUCCUCGUCUAUUCAUCUCUCUUCCUUCACCCUUUUCAAUUUCUCACCCCAAGUUACACGCUCAAUUUCAAAGAUUGAGCUCUAGCUCCUUCCUUCAAAUCGCCGCCGAGUCUCCCCUUUUGCAGCAGAUCCGCCGCCGCGGUUCCCUUUCCGGCGAAAUCGGCAUCAAGUCGUUGGAGUACCGGCGAGGCCGCAGCCGGCAACUGGCGCUGCUCCCUUCGUCUCUGACUUCCUCUUUUUUUUUUUCCUCCCUUGCCUCUCUAUCUCUGAUCGUGCUCUCUCCUCUCAAUUUGCACGACCUCAGCCGUGCAUCCUCCUCAACAGGCUCUGCCAUGGCCGAGUCCGGUGAGGUUGGCGUCGGCGUCAGCCCUUGCCCAAAACUCUCUCAUCUUCCGUGUUUCUUCUCUGAAAUUUCAACUCUAGAUUAUACCCCCAAAUCGAACCCUAAUUCUUUCAUCAUGGACUACCACCGCUGCUGUCCUCUUCGGUGUAGACGGGCUCGAUGCCUCAUCGCGCCGCUGUUGUUAUAGUCAGAUUCCAGCGAGGCAGCAAGGGAUCACCGCCGUCAUUCCCUCGGCUCGACUGAACAGGCUGAACUCAAGAAGAAAAUGGAGAAGUUUAAGUUGAGCUUACCUCUUGGGGUCCAGAUUGCAGCUGAAAUAAACUCUCUAUGAUUUUUGGUGCAUAAAGGAAGAAGGGAGAAUCGUAGCUGGUGAUUUAAAGGGGGGAGUUUUUGGCUGAUUAGGUGGACUUCCAUGUGAGACUUUGAAAAUUGGAGUAUGCAUAAUGCGGCUAAUAGACCUCCUCGUUGUACCUUAGCAUGACUUCAAAUAUUAAAUUGUGGCUUUUGCAGGGAAAAGAGCAUGGCCUUAGCAGAGUAGAAAAGGAGCUGAUAUGCGUGUACUAUGCAUAUUUUAUUUCUUGAUUUUGUAUACUAUGUUGAUAGUGUAGGAGACCCUAGGGAGUGGAAAGAAAAAUGAUGAUUGUAAAGUAAAUAGAAUUGAGGUGACUAAUAAAAAAAUCAUCUGGCUUGAUUAAUAUUAAUUAAUCAAGUAUUUGUAAAACUAA
Molecule: long non-coding RNA, 2554 nt
Organism: Salvia miltiorrhiza (redroot sage)
Lineage: Eukaryota; Viridiplantae; Streptophyta; Magnoliopsida; Lamiales; Lamiaceae
Exons: 2
Source: RefSeq, a predicted model, not a curated record